RNAcentral lists this ribosomal RNA (506 nucleotides) under uncultured bacterium. Its description in RNAcentral is "partial 16S ribosomal RNA". It matches the Rfam family "Bacterial small subunit ribosomal RNA", at positions 29 to 523 of the family's 1533-position model. The record is from RNAcentral.
AGUGAACGCUGGCGGUAGGCCUAACACAUGCAAGUCGAACGGCAGCACAGAGGAGCUUGCUCCUUGGGUGGCGAGUGGUGGACGGGUGAGGAAUACAUCGGAAUCUACUCUGUCGUGGGGGAUAACGUAGGGAAACUUAAGCUAAUACCGCAUACGACCUACGGGUGAAAGCAGGGGAUCUUCGGACCUUGCGCGAUUGAAUGAGCCGAUGUCGGAUUAGCUAGUUGGCGGGGUAAAGGCCCACCAAGGCGACGAUCCGUAGCUGGUCUGAGAGGAUGAUCAGCCACACUGGAACUGAGACACGGUCCAGACUCCUACGGGAGGCAGCAGUGGGGAAUAUUGGACAAUGGGCGCAAGCCUGAUCCAGCCAUACCGCGUGGGUGAAGAAGGCCUUCGGGUUGUAAAGCCCUUUUGUUGGGAAAGAAAUCCAUCUGGUUAAUACCCGGGUGGGAUGACGGUACCCAAAGAAUAAGCACCGGCUAACUUCGUGCCAGCAGCCGCGGUAA